This 394-nucleotide small RNA is filed under the name Arabidopsis thaliana (thale cress). RNAcentral describes it as "ATSL284580". Lineage: Eukaryota; Viridiplantae; Streptophyta; Magnoliopsida; Brassicales; Brassicaceae. The record is from RNAcentral.
UUUUUUUUAGAAGGUCUGAGUUCUAAUAUACAUAAUCAUCAAAAUAAAUGACUACACAACUCAAGACUUCAUAUCACUCGAGGAUUUCAGGCACAACAUUAACCCACUCCGUCUUACCACAUAUCUCAUCUGUAUGGCGCUUCUCUAACGCAAUCUUAGAGAACCCAAUUUUAUAUCCUCUAUCGUCUUCAUCAUACCACUGCUUCCCACAUAACUACAAGCAGUGGCGGAUCUAGGGAGGAAAACUAUAUGGGGCACCAUAUUAGUGAAAAAAAUUUAAAGUAAUAAUAAAUAUGGGGAAAAAAUAAACAUGAAAUCAAAUACCAGUGUAAGGGCAUCGAACACAGCUUAUGGGACAUAGAGUAGGGCACUUCUUCCAAAUAAGCUAACCAAU